GGAAUUAUUGGGCGUAAAGAGCUCGUAGGCGGUUUGUCGCGUCUGCUGUGAAAGACCGGGGCUCAACUCCGGUUCUGCAGUGGGUACGGGCAGACUAGAGUGCAGUAGGGGAGACUGGAAUUCCUGGUGUAGCGGUGAAAUGCGCAGAUAUCAGGAGGAACACCGAUGGCGAAGGCAGGUCUCUGGGCUGUAACUGACGCUGAGGAGCGAAAGCAUGGGGAGCGAACAGGAUUAGAUACCCUGGUAGUCCAUGCCGUAAACGUUGGGCACUAGGUGUGGGGGACAUUCCACGUUUUCCGCGCCGUAGCUAACGCAUUAAGUGCCCCGCCUGGGGAGUACGGCCGCAAGGCUAAAACUCAAAGGAAUUGACGGGGGCCCGCACAAGCGGCGGAGCAUGCGGAUUAAUUCGAUGCAACGCGAAGAACCUUACCAAGGCUUGACAUGGACCGGAAAGACCUGGAAACAGGUGCCCCGCUUGCGGCCGGUUUACAGGUGGUGCAUGGUUGUCGUCAGCUCGUGUCGUGAGAUGUUGGGUUAAGUCCCGCAACGAGCGCAACCCUCGUUCUAUGUUGCCAGCGGUUCGGCCGGGGACUCAUAGGAGACUGCCGGGGUCAACUCGGAGGAAGGUGGGGACGACGUCAAAUCAUCAUGCCCCUUAUGUCUUGGGCUUCACGCAUGCUACAAUGGCCGGUACAAAGGGUUGCGAUACUGUGAGGUGGAGCUAAUCCCAAAAAGCCGGUCUCAGUUCGGAUUGGGGUCUGCAACUCGACCCCAUGAAGUCGGAGUCGCUAGUAAUCGCAGAUCAGCAACGCUGCGGUGAAUACGUUCCCGGGCCUUGUACACACCGCCCGUCAAGUCACGAAAGUUGGUAACACCCGAAGCCGG
Molecule: ribosomal RNA, 885 nt
Filed under: Arthrobacter sp.
Lineage: Bacteria; Bacillati; Actinomycetota; Actinomycetes; Micrococcales; Micrococcaceae
Description: bacterial SSU rRNA
Rfam family: Bacterial small subunit ribosomal RNA
Source: RNAcentral